AACGAACGCUGGCGGCAUGCCUAACACAUGCAAGUCGAACGAGACCUUCGGGUCUAGUGGCGCACGGGUGCGUAACGCGUUGGAAUCUGCCCUUGGGUUCGGAAUAACAGUUGGAAACGACUGCUAAUACCGGAUGAUGACGUAAGUCCAAAGAUUUAUCGCCCAAGGAUGAGCCCGCGUAGGAUUAGCUAGUUGGUGAGGUAAAGGCUCACCAAGGCGACGAUCCUUAGCUGGUCUGAGAGGAUGAUCAGCCACACUGGGACUGAGACACGGCCCAGACUCCUACGGGAGGCAGCAGUGGGGAAUAUUGGACAAUGGGCGAAAGCCUGAUCCAGCAAUGCCGCGUGAGUGAUGAAGGCCUUAGGGUUGUAAAGCUCUUUUACCCGGGAUGAUAAUGACAGUACCGGGAGAAUAAGCUCCGGCUAACUCCGUG
RNAcentral lists this ribosomal RNA (433 nucleotides) under uncultured bacterium. RNAcentral describes it as "partial 16S ribosomal RNA". It matches the Rfam family "Bacterial small subunit ribosomal RNA", at positions 29 to 507 of the family's 1533-position model. The record is from RNAcentral.